ACGAACGCUGGCGGCGUGCUUAACACAUGCAAGUCGAACGGAAAGGCCCCUUUGGGGGUACUCGAGUGGCGAACGGGUGAGUAACACGUGAGUAACCUGCCCUUGACUUCGGGAUAACUUCAGGAAACUGGGGCUAAUACCGGAUAGGAAUCCUUGCUGCAUGGUGGGGGUUGGAAAGCUUCGGCGGUUUUGGAUGGACUCGCGGCUUAUCAGCUUGUUGGUGGGGUAGUGGCUUACCAAGGCUUUGACGGGUAGCCGGCCUGAGAGGGCGACCGGCCACAUUGGGACUGAGAUACGGCCCAGACUCCUACGGGAGGCAGCAGUGGGGAAUAUUGCACAAGGGGCGGAAGCCUGAUGCAGCAACGCCGCGGGCGGGAUGACGGCCUUCGGGUUGUAAACCGCUUUCAGCAGGGGCGAAGCUUGUGGUGACGGUACCUGCAGAAGAAGCACCGGCUAACUACGUG
Molecule: ribosomal RNA, 464 nt
Filed under: uncultured bacterium
Lineage: Bacteria
Description: partial 16S ribosomal RNA
Rfam family: Bacterial small subunit ribosomal RNA
Source: RNAcentral